CCUACGGGGGGCUGCAGUGGGGAAUAUUGCACAAUGGGCGCAAGCCUGAUGCAGCCAUGCCGCGUGUGUGAAGAAGGCCUUCGGGUUGUAAAGCACUUUCAGCGGGGAGGAAGGCGUUAAGGUUAAUAACCUUGUCGAUUGACGUUACCCGCAGAAGAAGCACCGGCUAACUCCGUGCCAGCAGCCGCGGUAAUACGGAGGGUGCAAGCGUUAAUCGGAAUUACUGGGCGUAAAGCGCACGCAGGCGGUCUGUCAAGUCGGAUGUGAAAUCCCCGGGCUCAACCUGGGAACUGCAUUCGAAACUGGCAAGCUAGAGUCUUGUAGAGGGGGGUAGAAUUCCAGGUGUAGCGGUGAAAUGCGUAGAGAUCUGGAGGAAUACCGGUGGCGAAGGCGGCCCCCUGGACAAAGACUGACGCUCAGGUGCGAAAGCGUGGGGAGCAAACAGGAUUAGAUACCCGGGUAGUC
This 465-nucleotide ribosomal RNA is filed under the name uncultured Klebsiella sp. RNAcentral's name for it is "bacterial SSU rRNA". It matches the Rfam family "Bacterial small subunit ribosomal RNA", at positions 338 to 795 of the family's 1533-position model. Lineage: Bacteria; Pseudomonadati; Pseudomonadota; Gammaproteobacteria; Enterobacterales; Enterobacteriaceae. The record is from RNAcentral.